This 2514-nucleotide long non-coding RNA is filed under the name Heterocephalus glaber (naked mole-rat). RNAcentral describes it as "lncRNA (ENSHGLG00100043952.1)". Lineage: Eukaryota; Metazoa; Chordata; Mammalia; Rodentia; Bathyergidae. The record is from RNAcentral.
CUCAAACUCUUGUCCUCUCUCCCAGAGCCUGCCCAGGACUGCGUUUGCCAGGACCACCAGCCACUCCUGAUUCUGGCUCAGAUGAGGACCUGCUACCCUGCUAAGAUGGCUUUCCAGGAAAGGAUGUUGUAAUGUUCCUUCCAGAACUCUUCAAGGGUUAAAUCUGUAUCUGAGACCAUCUGAAGCACAAGCAGCCAGCAUUUGGUCAUAAGUCAAGACUUUGGUGGUAAGUUACAACUAAAAUUCCAGUCAUAACCCAAGUUCUUCGUAUGUCAGGCCAGUCAUAACUCAAAAGUCAAGUGUACUUUAACGUCAAUUCUGAGGGCCUCUAGGGCUCUGACCUUGGCUCUUCACUCCAAACCUAUAGGACAUUAUUUCUCACGUGGUUUACAUAUUCUGAGCCAAACUCUUUCUCUAGUCAGUCCUUGGCACCCUACAGAGAUGCCUCUCCUUUUCUGUCACUCACUAAGCACACAGCUUUUGUUUGGAGACCCACAGUAGUAAUGGAUUGGGUCCCAGGAGAACCAUAGUGUACAGUUGUUCAGUCUACACAUUGCACAAAGACAUUUGAGGAAGGAGGCUGUGCUGUGGAUACCUGGAGAAAGGCACACUGUUUUUUUAUAUGAGAAAUAUUCAUGUAAACACAUAUAAUUAAGUUAGAUAACCAGCUGAACUAGAAUAAUGUGUUUCAUUAUCAUGUCACUAUGUGAAAGUGAAAAUUCUUAGCAUCUGAAAAUAUUUGGUGGAAAACAGUUCCUUUUCAUUUGUAAUGAAUCAACUUUAGUUUUUAGAGCUGUUUAAGAUUUACAAAACAACUGAGCAGAAAUCAGAGUUCUAUAUAACCUUGCCUACCCCACUUCCACCCCACUCUCAGAGUUCGAUGCUAUUUACACAUUGCAUUAGUGUGAUGCUUUUGCUGCAACUGAUGAGUAAAUAUUGAUAGUUUACAAGAACUAAAGUCCAUAGUGCACUCCAGGGUUCUCUCUGGGUUAUACAUUCUAUGAAUUUUGACAAAUGUAUGAUGACAUGUAUGUACCAUACAGAAAGAGUUCUCUUGCCCUAAAAAAUACCCUGUGUUGCACCUAAUCAAAACUUCCUCUAUCCUUCCCCUUCCACAGGCCCUGGCAACAACUAAUCUUAUUACUUUCUCCUUUGCUUUGAGAAAGGUAUACUUUUUGUCUGCAGAAGGGAAUAUCCACCAGCCAAAAUCACAGAUACUUCUGCCAGAAGGGCACCACUUUUAAAACUGAACAAAGAUCUUACAGCAGCUAGCUAAUGCCUUGAGUCCAAGAUCUAGUCCAAUCACGAUCAUAAGGUCUUCCCCUGAAACAUUUCAAUAUAUCCCAUCUCCCUGUUUCCCUUUAUCUAGUCCAUUUUUUUCUUGGUAAACAUUUCCACCCAAUUCUGUUUGGGCCACUAUAACAAAAAUUCUAUUGACCAGGUGGAUUAAACUAUGAACAUUUAUUUCUCACAGUUCUAGAGGUUGGAAAGUCCAAGGUCAAGGUACCAGGUCGACUCAGGAUCAGAUAAAGGCUACUUCCUGGUUCCUAGACUGUCUUAUCCCUGUGUCAGCUCAUGGGAAAAUGGAGAGAGCUCUAUGGGGCAUUGCUCAUGAGGGUACUAAUCCCAUUCAUGAAGGUACCCCUCCUGCCUCAAUCACAUCCAAAGGCCCUACCUCCUAACACUAUCACCUAGAAGGUUAGGAUCUCGGCAUAUGAUCUGAGAAGACCCAAACAUCUAAUCCACAGCAAUCACCUUAUGCCCCCCUCCCAUCUAUCAACCCAACCAUCUCCUCUUUCCGUGCUGCUGCUGCUAUCGCUGUCCAAAAGAACUUUCUGCAAUGUCACAAAUGUUCCACAUCUGUGCAGUCCCCUGCAGCAGCCACUGGCUGAAAGUGGCUCAUAGUACAGAGGAACUGAAUUUUUAAAUCCUAUUUCACUUUAGUAAUUUAAAUUUAAAUGCCCCCAUGUGGCAAAAUGACUAUCAUAUUGGACAACACAAGUUUAAGGUUUUACCCCUGCUAUUUUUCCCAUUGCGGUAGAAUUCAUAAGCUCCUCCUACCUUCAAGCUUGACAUUCUCCCUUCUCUGUGAGUCUUCUCUGACUAUGCAGAAUGAGAUGAUUCCUCCUGACCCUUCUGGAACAACUGGCUCUCAAGUUACUCAUAUUUUAUUAUCAUCAAAUAUGCACAUGUGUAGUUCUUUCUUAUAUGUUAACAUGUCUUGUAAAAUUUCUUUAAUUUAUGAAACUAUUUUAGUGUUGCUUGUCUGUACCUUUUUAGCUUUCCUUCUAUUGAAAACUGCGCAAAACUCUUCAAACUCUGUGCCCUGAGGAAACAGAGCAAAGUUUUGUAACUAAUGCUUCAUCUGGUGAUAAUUGAAAGUGAUGGCUGGGGGGCUAAUUCAUGCCAUUUGAGAUGCCAGGGCACCAUAUCCAAGGUAUAAAAAAUGGGAGAAGAAACAAUAACAUCAAAAGAAAUUGAAAGUUUACAUCUAAGAUUCAGCAAGGAAUAGAG